CUAGCGCAGGUGGGAGAGUCCGGCAUUCGAUGCCGGCGCCGAAGGAGCAACCGCCCCGGAAUCUCUCAGGCCAACGGACCGUCUGCGUGGU
Molecule: regulatory RNA element, 91 nt
Organism: Spiribacter curvatus
Lineage: Bacteria; Pseudomonadati; Pseudomonadota; Gammaproteobacteria; Chromatiales; Ectothiorhodospiraceae
Rfam family: Glycine riboswitch aptamer
About the family: This family represents the bacterial glycine riboswitch. Glycine riboswitches usually consist of two metabolite-binding aptamers domains with similar structures in tandem.
Source: Rfam